CCUACGGGAGGCAGCAGUGGGGAAUAUUGCACAAUGGGCGCAAGCCUGAUGCAGCCAUGUCGCGUGUAUGAAGAAGGCCUUCGGGUUGUAAAGUACUUUCAGUUGUGAGGAAGGGGGUGUUGUUAAUAGCAACAUCUCUUGACGUUAGCAACAGAAGAAGCACCGGCUAACUCCGUGCCAGCAGCCGCGGUAAU
This 194-nucleotide ribosomal RNA is filed under the name uncultured Vibrio sp. Its description in RNAcentral is "partial 16S ribosomal RNA". It matches the Rfam family "Bacterial small subunit ribosomal RNA", at positions 338 to 524 of the family's 1533-position model. Lineage: Bacteria; Pseudomonadati; Pseudomonadota; Gammaproteobacteria; Vibrionales; Vibrionaceae. The record is from RNAcentral.